RNAcentral lists this ribosomal RNA (843 nucleotides) under uncultured archaeon. Its description in RNAcentral is "bacterial SSU rRNA". It matches the Rfam family "Archaeal small subunit ribosomal RNA", at positions 53 to 901 of the family's 1478-position model. The record is from RNAcentral.
GCGAGUCAUUGUAGCAAUACAAGGCAGACGGCUCAGUAACGCGUAGUCAAUCUACCCUAAGAGACGGGAAUAACCUCGGGAAACUGAGAAUAAUGCCCGACAGAACAUUAUACCUGGAACGGUUUAUGUUUCAAAUGAUUUAUCGCCGUAGGAUGGGACUGCGGCCUAUCAGUUUGUUGGUGAGGUAAUGGCCCACCAAGACUAUUACAGGUACGGGCUCUGAGAGGAGUAGCCCGGAGAUGGGUACUGAGACACGGACCCAGGCCCUAUGGGGCGCAGCAGGCGAGAAAACUUUGCAAUGUGCGAAAGCACGACAAGGUUAAUCCGAGUGGUUUCUGCUAAAGAAACCUUUUGCUAGUCCUAGAAACACUAGUGAAUAAGGGGUGGGCAAGUUCUGGUGUCAGCCGCCGCGGUAAAACCAGCACCUCAAGUGGUCAGGAUGAUUAUUGGGCCUAAAGCAUCCGUAGCUCGUUUUGUAAGUUUUCGGUUAAAUCCAUACGCUUAACGUAUGGGCUGCCGGGAAUACUGCAUAACUAGGAAGUGGGAGAGGUAGACGGUACUCGGUAGGAAGGGGUAAAAUCCUUUGAUCUAUUGAUGACCACCUGUGGCGAAGGCGGUCUACCAGAACACGUUCGACGGUGAGGGAUGAAAGCUGGGGGAGCAAACCGGAUUAGAUACCCGGGUAGUCCCAGCUGUAAACUAUGCAAACUCAGUGAUGCAUUGGCUUGUGGCCAAUGCAGUGCUGCAGGGAAGCCGUUAAGUUUGCCGCCUGGGAAGUACGUACGCAAGUAUGAAACUUAAAGGAAUUGGCGGGGGAGCACCACAAGGGGUGAAGCCUGCGGU